UUUUUUUUUUUUUUUUUUUUUUUUUUUUUUUUUUUUGAGUGAGCGAUAAAGAAAAGUCAGGAGACUGAAUCGGGAGACAGGAGCUUGAAUCCAAGGCUGGAAGAUGGUCCCCAUCAGUAAAGGGCUUUCCUUGCAAGCAUGAGGACCUGAGUUCAGUCUUUAGAACCCAUUACAAUGAUGGGCAUGGUGGUGCCUAGCAGGUAGUUGUUGGGGCUUCUUGGCCAGCCAGACUAACCUAACUGGCAGCCGCAGGAUAAUGAAAGAGCCUAUCUGAAUGACUGAAUCUGGGGUCAAUCCUGGCCUUCUAUAAGCAUGUACACAUGUAUAUACAUACAGCUACACUCCCACCAACAGCACCCAUACAGCUGGGAUCCUGUUCCUUCACUCAGAAGCAUUGCCACCAUAGACAAGGAACUCUGUGUAUCUGCUUGCUCCAGUCACAUUAUCUCCACUGGUGGGAGGCUUUUCGCGGAUACUGCUCAACCACUGAGUAAAUCCUUGACUCUGGGCUUCUCUCUUGUCUCAGCAUCAGUUCCUUUCUGGAACUUUCCAAUAAACCCUCCUUUUGACUUCCUCACCCCACCAAUAUAUAUGCAUGGCUUUUGUGUUCCCCUUAAGAGCAGAAACCCAGACCACCUCCACUCCACUCCGGAGGAGUCAGCAGGGAGUCUCUGGCUGGUUGUGCAGUGCUUUCCCUCUCAGACCAAGUAGGAUCUCCUUCUCUAGUUACUGAAGACAACACAAUUCUUUACUGAAUCUUGGGCAGUGUGCUGGUUCAGCCUCUUUGGGUUAGAGGUCUUCAGUCCCAGCAUCUAUAAACAGUAAGAGCAGUAGAUCUUAUGAGAAUGUUCUCCGUGCCCAGUCCUAAGCAGAGUUAACAGAUUUCAGUACAUUUUAGGUGUACCCUACAGACAGCCCAAAUCCUUAGGAAGCAAAUAAGAAUAUUACUGUUUCCGUUUUACAGUUGAGAACAUGAAAUUGAGAGAGGUCAGAUGAUGUUCCCAGGGCUACAGGCCAGUAAGUAUUAGAAAAGAAUUUAAACCCAGACAAAACACUGUACAUCAGAGCUCUAAUACUGGUCUUGGAGUGUCUCUGCGUGUGUGUCUCUCUCUCUCUCUCUCUCUGUCUCUCUCUCUCUGUCUCUCUCUCUCUGUCUCUGUCUCUCUCUCUCUCUCUCUGAGUCUGUAUUUUUGUUCACCCAUAGAUAUCAGAGGACAACUUUUGGGUGUCAAUUUAUCCAAUAUAUUAAAAGGAAAGUUUGCCACCACUCAACGGGUUUGGCUAACUUAGACUUCCCCCUACUAUUCCAUUGACUUGCAAAAUAUUUUUGCAACAAAAGCAUUUUGACUCCUACUGGACUCUUUUUCAGGAGCCUGGGUUGGAAGGUAGAUGAAAGCAGAGACUCUGCCUUUGAUGCAGGAGUGGAGGGCCUCAUCCCUGUCUGCUCCCCUCUCAUGCCCUUCCUGUUCCUCUUUUUCCUAGAGGACUUGAAGACCAUGAAAGUUGCAGGCUCCAGAGGACAAGGCUAGGAGAGCUGGUGCCGGGAGCCAGGUGGUUGCUCUGCAGCCCGGUGUGAGCAAGUUCUGUGGUGAACUGUAGAGCACACUCCUCACCCCUAAAUGUUCCUACUGGCCACGGAAAGGAGAGUAGGAACUCUUAGUGAGUGACUUCUCUUCUUGUGGUCUUUGAUCAGACACUGCACUUACAGAGCUUUAAGGAAUUUGCAAAGGUGCUUUCAGGAAGGAAGAAGAGGGAGAGUUCUGUGGUUAUAAAUAGAAAAUCUGCUGCAGAGGCCAAGAGUGAUGGAGGGGAGUCUGUGUAGCUUCACACGCACCUUUAGUCCCAGCACUCUGGAGGCAGAGGCAGGUGGGUCUCAACAGUGAGAAAUCUGCAAUUUGGGUUUCUUUAAAAAACACAAAAAUAUUGCAAGAAUGUCCUUUGAUGUUAAUCCCCUGUAUGGGGAUGAGGUGCUUCAGGCCGUCCACAGCAGCGGACCUUGAUUUGCCUUGAGCACUAGCAGAAGCAUGGUUUUGACAGCUGCAGAUAGUCUCUGUGAUUGUGUGACAUUUGGAACUCUGAGAACUCUUCAGAGGGUAUGUAAACACUAAAGUCCUGAUAGGUAGGGUUGGCAGUUGGUAGUCAUUCAGGGGAUUUGUUAGUAGCUGUGCUCAAAGAAGAAACAAAAAGCAAAGAAAUUAGAUUCAGAUAUCUCUCUCUCUCUCUCUCUCUCUCUCUCUCUCUCUCUCUCUCUCUCUCUCUCUCUCUCUCUCUCUCUCCCUCUCCCCCUCCCUCUCCCCCUCCAUCUCUCUCCCCUCUCCUAUCUAGUGAUAGGGGAUGAAACCAGGGAAAGGAUAAAGGGUGGAAGAAAGAAGAACUCACAAAGUAGCAAAGACCAGCUAAAGAUCUCUGUGAGUUCAAGGUCAUGUAGACAGCCUCUGAGCCUCUCUGUCUCUCUGUAAUUCUCUCUGUCUCUCUCUGUCUCUCUAUCUGUCUGUCUGUCUGUCUGUCUUUCUCUCUCUCUCUCUCUCUCUCUCACACACACACACACACACACACACACAGAGAUGUGUAUACUCAUAGCACCACCAAAAUGCCAGGAUACAUUCAGUCAUUGCUUAAUGUAGGGAAAGAAGCCACGGUGCGACAACAGUGCUGAGGUAGUCCAGGUUCAAAUGAGCCCUAAAAACAGUAUCUAAUAUCUUUGCAUCAUCUUGUCCACUAACAACACUGAAGGUCUUGCAGGCUUCUGCUGGUGCCCCAUUCCUCUGACAAUGAUGUCUUGCUCUAUCUGGGACAGGAGUGAUGGACUGUUAAGUCAGUAAGUUCCUCGCUCCCAGUUAAUUCAGGGGUUUUAGAAACUACUUAUAUUCUACAUGAAACCUUUCUAUAUAUUUGAAAUUCUUAAAUUACAUUCCUACAAAUAUUGAGCAUUCACAGAGCCAGGUAAAUCACAGUCUCUAGGGAAGGUACCAAAGCUUCAGUAGCUGCAGAAGUUCAGAAGUGACUCUGUUGUAAGCCUGGACUACUGGAACCACUGGCCUGUUUUCAAAAAUCGCCCCUGAACUAGCAGGGUGGGAAUCUGUGGGACACUCUUGAGUAUUGGAUAUUUGAGUAAUUGAUGCUUAUGAAGUGAGUGGAGUGACCAGCCUUGAUGUUUGGAGGCACCCAGUUAAGCCACGUUAACUUUAAUUUACAUACCCUUAAGAGGUAGGCAGGGAUACGUCUCAGGCUAGUUCUCUCAUGGGAGUGUGAUAAGGGACUCUAUGAAAGCAGGGGAGACCACAUGCUUUUGAAAUAACACUGGGAAGGAAGCACCCUGGCUUCCUUGGAGCAUCUUCGGGAGGAUUUUAUCUAAAGGUGCCUGCGAGCUGCUGGGCUUUCUAAUUAAACCAGAUGGACUGGGUGAUAGCUGAUUAGAUUCCUGACUUACAGAUCCUCCUCCUAUUUAUUCGCAUCAACAUGUUGAUGAGGCAGACGCCAUCUCAUUCAGGAGAAGCACCUCACCGCAUAUUUUGAGAAAAUUAAACUUUUAUGGAUGACCCAUUCUGGAAACUGCUCAAAUGCCGGAGUCUGUUUCCCACAGCACCUGGAUGGGUGAGCUUUCAGCAGGGGCACCAUGAAUGAAUGGCAGUCUGCUGGUGUGUGCCAAAACAACAGCAACAGCAAAUUACAGGCCAUCCAUCACUUGGAUGGAAAGGAAAAUGUCAUGAAGAUAGACCCGAGAAGGCUCGGGAGAACUUCUACAGCCCCUCCAUCUCACCUGUUUCCAUUGGCUGGGGUCGUAUCAUAUUAUAGAUACCAACUCCAAAUUCACUUUGCUUUCUUGAUUGGCAAGAUUUGGGGGAGGGUAGGGUGAAGGGUGAUUAAAUAGAUGCUCAAGGAAACAAUUUUAAAAUAGUCUGGGGACUGGAGAGAUGGCUCAGUGAUGAAAAGCGGAUCCUGCCUUUUCAGAGGACCUGAGUUUGGUUCCCAGCACUCACACUAGAAGCUCACUGGAACCUGUAGCUCUAGCUCCAAAGGAUCUAAUGCUCUCUUAUGACCGCUGUGCAGGCAUCUGAAUAAUUAAAAACAAAUAAAAUAGAAAAAUAGAAGCUAUGGGCAGUCCAUGGCUUUCGGGUGAGGGAGAUUCAAUUUUUUGUUAAGACUGUGGCUCCUGGUGGGCCAGCCAUGAUUUAGUGGAAGCCUCCACAUGCAAGAAUACAUGGGCUGCACAAAUUGGAGUAACAGAACACAAAGACAGUGAAGGGAUAGAAAGUAGAGGUAGAUCAUAGAGGAGUGGGGGAAGUGAAUAUGAUCAAAGUACAUUAUAUGAAAUUCUGGGAGAAUUAAUAAAAUAUUAAAACCCAAAAUAAUUAAAUAAAAAUACUCCAAAAAUGUACCUAAAUUACAUGCUAUAAACAUAACUACAUCUGUUCAUGCAGAUAUAUGUGUAUUUGUGUAUGUGUUUCUUUGUACAUAUGUAUGCAUUUGGGUGUAUGUGUGACACACACACUUAUAUGCACAAGCACAUGCACAGAAUAAAGAGGUGCAAAUGCAUAGCUAUGACCUUCUGCAAUGAGUGUAUUGAGAGAUUUUUAGUCUGAGUUUCUGCUGGCCACCAGAACUUGUAUCCAUAUCCUGCUGAAAAUAGGGAACUGGUCCAAAUUGGGUCCACAGAGAAUCAUUUUGUGGGAUGUACUGCCCUAGGGUCUCUCCGGGAUAAAUCUGCUGAGAUGGGGGAAAGAAUGGAGUGUCCUACAGAUUUAAUGCUGAGUUUGUGGCUCUGCAGAGUCGCUGGCCCAUGGAGAGGGCACAAGCUUCAGCUCCCAGUCGCUCAGGUUAGCUUUGACUCUGAAAACUGAUGCUGAACUGGACUCCCUCGAUUGGCUGAGCCAUGCAGCCAGAACUCCAUUUGAUUCUAUUUAAAUAGUGCCUUUGACUGCCUGCUGGAUGGCCAUCGUGUGUUCACAUUUCUGGCUGAUGAACAUGGCUAGAAUGCAUUAGGUCAGGAAAGUGUCAUCCCUGUUUUGAAAUGCAAGGCAGGUCUCUGGAUGGCGGGAGAGGUGUCAACCCAGCCAUCAGGUAACUUCCUAGUUGUUUCUUUAUCCUGUAAUACUUGGUCCCUUCCUGGCAUGUGCCAUAUGCUGCUGGAUAAUGUUCUGGAUGAAGACAGUGGUUCAUAAGGAAGGUCCUCUUUUUCUUGGUGCCUCUGUUUUUUAAAUGUUAAGUAAAUUAAUUAUUCAGUUUUGUGAAAAUAGAAAUUAUUAACUUUUGUGGGUCUGGUCAUAGCUGAUGGGAUAAGAUCCUUCUGAAAAUGUCACCUGUGUAGAUUACUGUUAUAAGGGUGAAUUGUGACCCCUUAGGGUCCAUUUGUGAAUCUGAAACCUCAGGCCUCAAGAUGCAACCACAGUUAGAGAUUAGAUUCUGACUUUCAUUUUUAAUUUCGUAUAUUUGUGUGGUAUGCAUGUACGCAUGUAUGUGUAUGUGUGUUUAUCCUCACAGAUGACCAAAGUUGAUGUCGGGUACCUUCUUGAUUCCUUUUCACUUUAUUGACUAAUUAUUGCUAACUGUAGCUUGCUAUCCCAGCCAGUCUAUCUAGCCAGCUCGAUCCAGAGAUUCCAUGGCUCUGCCUCCUGAGGACCGUGGGGACGGACGGCUGCCAGACUUUAUAUGGUUUCUGAGGAUCUGAACUCUGGUCCUCAGGUUUGGAUAGCAAUCACUUUAUCCACGGUACCAUCUCUCUAGCUCUAAAGAGGUAGUGAAAUUAAAAUGAAGCAAGUGACAUGGAUGUGACUGAUGGCCCUGUAAGAAAAGAGAAUAAGAACACAGAUAUGCUCAGAGCACAGACAUUGUUAGAAGACAAUGAGCCAGCCCCGCCCGCCAGGCCCUUCCUUCCCAAGUUUCCGAUGUGAGGGGGAGCUCAUGUCUGACUUCCAGUUUUCAGAGCUAAGAGACGAUACAUUUCUUAUCCUUAACCCGCCCAGGCUGGGGUAAUCUGAGACAGCAGUCCUGGCAAAACAAUGCCUAUGUAGGAGUCUAUGUGUCUGCAUUAUUUACACAUUUAUUAAAUGCCGUCUUGUGGCUGGAUUAGCCUUGCUGGGGAGUGAGUAGUUAAACCAGAGCUGUGAGAUAGGGCGGUUGGCCAGGUUUUGAGGUGGGAAGGAGGAGGACAUGAUGAAUGUUUACAGAGAGAAAGGUGGGAGGGAAGGAAGAGGAAGAAGGAAAGGGAAGAAAGUGGAGCUUGGGAGGGGAAAAAAUAGCUCUUGGAAGCAGAGAACUCAGGAUAGAAUUCUCUCCUUGCAUCUUAAUAACUUCAUCAGGGUGAAGAAGCCUCUGCCCUCCCCAGAGGACUGCUUCUCCUUGAUGUCAUGUUGAUUGAAUUGUCUUGUUUUACAAAGAAACAAACGGCUUCAUGUUAGGCUGAUUCUCCUUUCGCUCAGAUGUACUAAAGGCUUCAAGGGAAGGGCUCCUUGUAAUUACACACUCUGGCAUUUCCUUAAUGCUGGGAUUUAGAGUUUUAAGCCCAGUGGGCAGAGACCAUUACUAAUUUGACAUCUGGCCUUGUGCCCUGACCGCUGAUGGCUCUGGAGACAGCAUCAGAAAUCCGGGUAGGUGGUGAGAGAAAUCACAGAGAUGAACAGGGGAUGCGGCUCCAUUCCUGUCCUGUGAGUGGGAUGAUCUGCGACAGAGUGUUGAAAACUGAAGCUGAGACGGAAGGGUGGGGUAUGAUCUCAAAGAUGCAGAGUAAGCAUUGUAGGCAUCUGCGGGUGACAGGGUACACUGCUGGGGUUCCGAAGGCGUGACUAUUGUCACAGGACAUGAGUCCCAGGAUGCACUAGUCUCAUUGACCUGCAAAGGCCUUUAUCAGGGUAGAUCUGAUAUAUGUAAUACUUUAUGUGGGGAAAUAUGUACAGUGUGUAUACACACACACACACACACACACACACACAGGAGAUUCAUGCUUGUAUGGAGGCCAGAGGUGGACAUCAGUGUACCCCAGCCCCCAGGAAUUUACUGUGUUUAUUUUGUCUGAGACCUAGGAACUGAAUCCAAGGCCUCACACAUGUUAUGCAAAUGUUCCGCUGAGCUACACCCCCAACCUGCUUGUUGGUCUUUAUUUUUAUGUGAUGGGGUCUCACCAUGUUGCCCAGGCUGGUCUGAACUUUCCACUGGUCUCCCGUGUAGCUUGGAUUUCAAACCAGACCCACAAAGUCUGGCUCCUGCUAGCCAUUUCAUUUUCAUUUUCCUCCUGAGGACUCAGACGUGAGUCCACAGAGAACGGGAUAAAACAUUGGAAUGAUUUCCUCUCCCUAAAUUCUGACCCCAGUCCUCUCCCCAUAGUGACACCAGGAUCGUCCCCUAGAGCCUCCUCAGAUGGGACUUCCUUUUAUACUUCCUCCAUGCUCAGAAGAGUUCCAGUUAGACUCAAGUCAGCUCCCUACUUGGGAAAGAGCAGGUGAUCCCAUGCUAUCCCCUUUGAUUCGCACUGACACCUCAGACAAGUAGCCAUACUAAUAUUUGCUCUACAAGAAACCCCAGAGCCCUGGAAAACCUUCGUCAGAGGAGGAAGGACACAGAGGGACUGAAGUCACUCAGACGUCUCUUGGAAGCCAACUGUACUGCAGACUAGCUUUGCAGCCAUAGGAAAGUUGCUAAAAACUUGUUGGCUCUGCUUUCCCAGUCCCUGAAGUGAGGUAAUUCUGUUUUUCAAGGGAGAGGGGUGUAUCAUAGACUAUUGGUAGUGAAAAUAUGGAACAAGGGGAGAGAGCGCUACUUUCAAAUAGGUGCUAAUCCCACUUCGCUCUUGCCUCUCCAGUCAGUCCUUCAAGUGAAGAGUAAGUAGUCAUUUGAUACUAGUCUUUGACCUUAAGCCACUCACUGAUGAACCUUCCCCUUUACUGACCUGGCCAAGUGGGCCCAGUCAAAGGAUCUUGUUACAGGAGAGAUGGAGCUAAGUACCUCCUUGCUGCUAACCAAGGCUGAGACCCACACCUGUCUGCCAGUCUCUCCAGCAAGAAGUCAUAAUGAUCAAAUUGCAUUAUUGCUGCUGGGUUUUGUAGCCUGUACAGCAUGUUAACAUCAACACGGAGAUGGUAUCAGAGGGCACUUUGGGUAACUUGGAGGAAGAGGAGGAAGAGGAGGAGGAGGAGGAGGAGCCAGAGCAGACCACACUAGGAACAGAGGAAUGGGAAGGAAUCCAACCAAACAGUACUGCAAGCCUGCCACCUCCCAGGAAGCUGGCAGUCCAAACCUUGAGUGAUACUGGCUUCCUUCCCACUGCCAGCCAGAAGUGGCUAUGGAUUGCAGGUUCACAGGGGAGUAUUAUGAACCUCUUUAGAUACCUUCCAAAUGAAACCAUUUUCAAUCAUGUACCUCCACAGUCACACCUUCAUUCUUCUUCAUGGCUGAUAUUUUUUGUUGCUGUUGUGUUUGGACAGGGUCUCGGGUGACCCAGGCUUGCCUCAAACUUGCGAUUUAUGAAUAUGAUCCAACUACCUCCACUUCCUAAGUUCUAGGAUUACAGAUGUAAACUAUCACCCCUGGUUUGUGUAGACUUGGGAAAUAGCCCAACACUUCUGCAUGCUGAGUAAGCACGCCCUAACUGAGCUACAUCCUCAGCCCAUAGGUGAUAUUUCUGUAUAAUCUCUUAUGCCCCACACUUCUGUCACAAUUCAGAAAUGGCUGCUCCAUUACUCCAGAUCCUAUGUCAGACCAUUGUAGUCUAGAUUCUAACUCCCGUGUCCCAUUGCAGUUUAGAAUACAGACUUUAGAAUGAGCCACUACCCAUCUACUGACUGUACAAUCUGGGGGCAAGCCAUUGAACCCAUGGAAGCUUCCACUUCUUCAGAAUGGGAGUAGGGCAUCACCGGGUUUGUCUUGGAGCUUGGAAAGUUGAGGUCCUGAGUGACAUGCAUCUGAGCCUCUGGAUCAAAGAAUGACUACAACUGAUGUCAGACAAGUGGGAACGCGAAGCCCAUUCAUAGCCAAGACACUCGCUGGAAGAAGCUUUGGCUUCCUUCACAUCUUGGGUCCCUUCAUAUCUAGGGCCAAAGUAGCCAUGGACUUACCUUUGUGACAAGAUAAAAAGAAUUGUUUUUUAGUCUAUCAUUAUACCUUGGAGAAAUAAACACUUUUUUUCAAUACUUAUAGAUCUUUUACAUUUUCUUCUCAUAUUAAUGUAACCCAUAUUGCUCUCUUUCUGGCUACUCUUGCCUCAGCCUUUCCAGUGCCAAGAUUAUACAUGUAUGCCACCACACUUGGUUGUUUCCUUGUUGAAUCUGACUUCAAGCAUCUACCUUGUCUGUGGCUUCCAUGUAGGGAGCCAUAGAUGUAAGAUCAAACUCUCCCAUGAACAUGUUAUGAUGAUGUUUCUGGCCCAGUGCAGGGCACUGUAGCAGCAAGUUAUGCAAAUCAUUUGUCUGGUCUUUGAGUUCAUGUGUCCGUCAGUCCAUUUAGAAUUCACACAUGAAUAUUAGCAUGGCACAGCAUGGGAGAAGAAAUGGGACUCAGGGGAGGUAUAGCAGAGUCCAGGGCAGGAAUACCAAGGACUCUGAGAAUACACUUCCUGAAGGAAAUGGGAUUUGUGUGCAACACUGAAGGAAUGAUCACAUAGAGGAAGAAGAAGAUGAGUAAAACCUCUGUAAAGGGGCUCUUAGGGAUGGAGACUCAAGACAGAUGGCCUUGGCUGCUGUCCCAGCUUUGCUAAUUCCCAACAAUCUCUGUGAUCUUGGGCAAAUCACUACCCUCUUGUCCUCCAGUUUCCCCAGUAGUAAACUGGGAAAGAACAAUAGUAUCUGUCUGAUAGAUUGCUCCAAAGCUGCGUCAAACAUGUGCUGCAAGACACACAGCUAAAAAAGCAACGUCAUUACUGUGGUGGAGAGCACAAAGAAGUCAAAGAGUAGAACCUUCUAGAAUGAAGAGGCUGCACUGAAAGCUAGAAGGCAUACAGGGAUUCCAGCCAUUGGGCAGUCAUAUGAAACUGCCAGAUAAGACUGCCGUUGGUGAAGCAGGAAAGAUGGGAUUGUUUUCUAAGGGUGAGAUGUGUAAAUAUAGCCAUUCUAUUGCUAUGUUAAAACACCAUGGCCAAAGCAACCUAUAAAAGAAAGCAUUGAAUUGGGCUUUCAUUUUCAGAGGGUUAGAGUCAACAAUGGCAGAGCAAAGGCACGGUGGCAGGAAGAACUGAGGGCUCUUAUCUAGAUCCACAAGUGGGAAGCAGAGAGGGGAGAUCACACUGUGAAUGGAGUGAGUCUUUUAGAAUAGCAAACCCUGCUCCCAGUUGCAUAUCUCCUUCAGUCCCACAGAUUCUAAUCCUUCUCAAACAGUUCCACCAAUUGGGGAACAAGUAUUCAAAUAUGAGCCCAUGGAGGCUAUUUUCCUUUGAACCAUCAUACAAGGCUAUAAUAAUAAUAAUAAUAAAUGGAUUUUAAGGGAAAAUUUGUAUAGUAGCCAUUCUUCUCUUGGUUCCCUCAAUCUCCAUUUCCUGCCCACAAAAUAGGCAGCCAUCUAACUAGUUAUUCCAAUGGAGCAAAGUCUAUCUAUCUAUCUAUCUAUCUAUCUAUCUAUCUAUCUAUCUAUCCAUCCAUCCAUUUAUUUGAUAUGGGGUCUCAACUAGGAAAUAUCCAUCUGAUAGAAUGAUUCAAACAGUUCUUGCAAGACAUGUAGGUAGCUGCUCUCUACAGAGCAAUACCAUUAGUCUGGAACUCUUUAUGUAGCUCUGGCUCACCUUGAACUCACAGAGAUUCCCCUGCCUCUGCCUCCCUCCUGAGUGCUGGGAUUUAAGGUAAAUUCUGAGAAUGUAUUUCAUUUUUAAUUAGAUGGGCAAGUGUGUGAUGGAGAUGGUGGAUACUUAGUGUGUAGUGGCAUCCCCCACUCUUUACUAAGAGGAGUACCCAGCCGUGGGGCUAGCCCCAAGAGGAUGGGUAAAGUAAUUGGUUCCUUUCAUUGCUCUAGAAAAGGAGGACCGGGAGCAUCAUGCUCUACACCUGUAUUGGCUACAAGCCAAUGAAUUUAUCUCGAAUGUGUUUCUAUAGACCAGGAAGGGAAUGGAGAUUUCCCUAUCUUUUUUUUUUUUUUUUUUUUUUUUUUUUUGGUUUUUCGAGACAGGGUUUCUCUGUAUAGCCCUGGCUGUCCUGGAACUCACUUUGUAGACCAGGCUGGCCUCGAACUCAGAAAUCCACCUGCCUCUGCCUCCCAAGUGCUGGGAUUAAAGGCGUGCGCCACCACGCCCGGCCGGGAAUGGAGAUUUCAUAGGUUCUUAAUAGUGGUUGGUGGGAGGUAAGGUCAGUUAGAUGAACAAAUUGGAAAGAAUUGUCUACAACGCCAGGCAUUUCUCAGCUUCAGGCAUUUCUCUGCUCAUCUCCCUUCACUUAGGAGAUCUUUGGAGGACAUUUUUACAUUCUUUUACUGGUUAGGGAAAGUGUGGCUCUUCUCAAAUGGACCUUGCAACUCAGCCAGUCCUCAGCAGAGGGAAGCUGAAGUAUUGAUGACAGAGUUGUUAAAGAGUGUGUUUAACAAACACAACAGUUCCUGCACCAACCUGCAUGGUAAGAUGAGCCCCUUUGCCGAAGCAUUAUGGGAUGGGAUAGCAGGAGGAACCUUUACCAUGACUUUAUCCUCUGUUCCUUAAAAUGUGUUCUACUAGUUCCCCAAGAUGCUUAAAGGCGUUACAAGUCAUGGUCCACCCAACGUAGAAGUGAUGGUUUGAAGAAUACUGACAAGUCUGUCUGGAUUUUUUGGUCUUUAAUAUGCUGUCAUCAGCACCGUGGCAGUUCAGAAAAGGGAUUAAUUAUAAAUUGUAUGGGACAAGAUACAGUAUUGUUUAUUUUUUAACAUUUUUAUAUUAAGGCUUGUGGCAACACAGGUAUUCUGUGGAGGUCUAGGCCCUUACUGUAUAGCUAAAACACAUGGGACAAAGGCACUGGGGUUCAAGGUUAGACUGGAGCUGCCCCAAGCCAUUCUUUCAGAACUCCAGAGUUCACCUCAUAGAGGCUGUGGCACCGUUUAACUUAACUAUGGUUGGAUGUUUCAUGGUAAUGAUUUAUUUUUAUUUUUUAUUUAUUUAUUUUUUUGCAUCUGACCUCUUUGGAUCAGCCUAUCUCUUUGUUAUUCUUCUUGUUAUACAAAGCCAUGUGACUUUGGAAUAUGUAAUGUAUUUAAUAUACUACGACCUCUGUCCAGUAGAGUAAAAGGAAGAGAAAAUGGUCUCUGUCCCUUUUUAUGUUAUACAAUUUGUCCUGUAGAAAUGACUUCCAUGCAAAAUUGGAAUUCUGAUUUUUGCAAUCUCAAUGAUUCCAUACAAAGGACUGAGAAGGUGGCUUUGUUAGUAAAAUACUUGCAUUGCUUUGCAAAUAUGGGAACCUGAGUUUGUUGGAUCUCCAGAACCUAUGUGAUUUAAAAAAAAAAAGGGUGUUGUGGUGCAUGCCUGUGUCAGCCCUGGGCAGCAGCAGACAGAGGGUUCCUAGGGUCAUUGGCUAGCUAACCUCCCCUAAUCAAUGAGUUUCAGGCCAGGGAGAAACACUGUCUGGAAGGAAGGGAGGAAGGGAGGGGUAAAGGAGAAAGAAAACAAACAAACAAGCAAACAAGGAGUUAGAGAGAUGGCUCAGUGCUUAAGAGCUUUAGCUUCUCUUGCAGAGAACUUGGUUCAGUUCCCAACACCUUCAUGAUUCUUCACAACUGUCUGUAUUUCAAGUUCCAGAUGAUCCAAAACCUUCUUGGUCCCCUUGGGGACCACACACAUUCAGUACACAAACACAUAUACAGCCCCUCACACAUAAACAGGAACACUUUUAAUCUUAAAAAAAAGUUAGGAUGAUUAUGACUGAGGAGUGAUAGCUGAGUUUGUAUUCUGGCCCACAGAGCCGAGUUUGUAUGUUUGCACCCACAUGUACACAAGAUCUCCAUGUGUUAUUGGCCUGGGAAUGCAUCCAUAGGGCCUAUGGGUGAGGCAAAUAUCAGUAAACAUAUUUACAGGUGUAGGUGAUAUUUGAAGAAUUUUGAUGUUCUUGUUGGAAGGUUAUUGGGAGCUUUGAUUCUUAGCUCCCUAGUUUAAAAGCACCAGGGCUGUUUUAUCUCUGAGCUCUGUCGCUAUUCAAAUCUGCUAAGUGGAGAUCUAGCUGGUGUCAUAGCCUGGCUCACAAUCGGGAACCUUCCCCUUACAAUAUGUUCCAAAUAAUGCACUCUGUGAACAGUAGACAAGUUUUUCCCAAUGAUAGCUCUGGCCGCCAUGAUUACUUAUGCACAAUUUUCUGCAUAAGCAUUUUAAAUAUGCUUUUUUGUCCUUAUUUAUUCCUCACAAAUACAACAAACAACUGCUAAGUCUUAAUCAACUGGCCUGGAGUAAGAUAAAUUGUUUCUGUGUGCCUCCGUUUCCUCAUUGGUAAGAUAAGGAUGGCAUUCUAGGAUAUUUGGGAAUUCCCAGAGUGGAUGGGAACAUUUGGAAUAAUGGAUUGAGCUAGCCUAUAAAGGGCCUCUUAAGCAUUUCCCAGUUGAUAUUUACUGCUAGAGGCAAAGUUUCUAUUAGGUCCCAUAUUGCAGACUGCUCACCUUGCUCCUUCUCCACCAGCUGGCCAAACCAACUAGGUCAUAAAUAAUGUUGUGGAGGGUCUUGGUGUUUGGUAGAGAGGUGAUAUGCUGAAUCAGGUUCUGACUCCUGAAUGACUCUGCAGGGAAGUUUCUCAUCCAGAUGAAAUGGGAUGUGGUCUUGUAUGUACACAGGGCUCGGGCAAUUUGAGUCUGCUGUUUAAUCUGCCAUGGACAUCCUUUGUGUGAAGCCUCUGCUAUCACCAUUUAGGAGCAUUAAUAUUUAUCAAACAUCGCCUGUAAUGAGAUGUGAGCCUUUGCCUACCGGAAUUCUAGCUUAGAUAUUUAGAUUUGCGUGUUUCCAUAGUCAGGCUACUGAAUAAUUUAUUAAUCAUGUUGGAGAAAUAAAGUAGAUGGAUGAUGUCAAGGAGUUGUUGAAAACGGAUUUUUCUUUCUUUUUCACAGAGUCCUGGACUAGGAGGGGUGUUGUGGUUUGCGUGUGCAAUGUCCUGCAUGGGCUCACAUCUUUGAACACUUGACCAAGUGCUGAUACUGUUUGAUAGGGUAUAGAACAUUGGGGCCAGGGGAGUGGCUGUCAGCAGGACACCGCUAGAGGUGGGCUUGAGGGCACCUAGCUUCACUUUCAAUCCCCUGUCUGCCUCCUGACAUCACUUAAACAAGCAGCAGUCAUGUGUCCUGCUAUAACCUCCUUGCUAUGAUAGACUCUUAUCUCUGAAACUGAGCCAAAAGAAACCUCUCUUUGCUUGGUUUUCUUUUUUCUUUCAAGUAUUCUGUCAUAGCAGUGGGGAACAUAACUGCCUUAAUUAGGGUUGUAUUGCUGUGAAGAGACACCAGGACCACUGCAACUCAUAUAAAGAAGACCUUUUAAUUGGGGCUGGCUUAAGGAUUCAGAGGUUUAGUCCAUCAAGGUCAUGAUGGGAAACAUGGCCAAGCACAGUAAACAUGGUGCUGGAGAAGGAGCUGAGAGUUCUAUGUCUUAAUCUGCAGGCAGCAGCAGGAGACUGUCCCACUGGGCAUAGAUUGAGCACAUAUGAUUUCAAAUCCCAUCGCCACAGUGACACACUUCCUCCAACAAGGCCACACCCACUCCAACAAAGGCUCACCCCCUGAUAGUGCCACUCCCUAUGGGCCAAGUAUUCAAAUACAUGAGUCUGUAGAGCCAUUCCUCUUCAUACCACCACAGUAGCUAAUACAGGAUAGUGCUGGGGUGGACUUUUGAGGCAAAUAUAUUUCAUGGCUCUGUUUGAAUACUAAUCGUCCUUUACAUAAUAAAUAUUUUUUUACCCCUUAAGGGUAAGAUUAGGCGUCCCUUUGCUCCCCUUGGUCUCUUUCCCUUGAAGCACUGAGCUCUUGGCUUGCCUGCCUCUCAACCACCAUAGGUCCCUUAGUCUAGAAUUACCAGUGUGACUUGUUCCCCUCACUGAAGCAGAGUGUCUGUCACAUAGUAGGUCUUCCAUAAGGAUCUGUCGCACAGAAGGUCUUCCAUAAUCUACUUACAGGAAUGAAAUUAAAUGCUGGGCCCCUAGGCCUCAUGUUGCCUUAUGCAGCCACAGAGGUGCACCAUGUGGUGCGACUCAGGGAAUCAGCUAAUGAGGCCUCCUGCUUCCCGGAGCUCUUCCGUGCAGAAGAGAGAUGACAGCGACAAUGGAGUCCUCACCUGCCUUGCUUGGCAAUGUUCCUAAAUGCGGCUGUUGAGACAAUGUUAGUCUUUUCUCUGCACUGCCAGUGUGAGCUGAAUUCACAUUUUUUUUAAAGGCACUCUUGUAGCCCCCACAAUCUAUUUCGGUCUAUUGCUGUAAUUGGCACAUUAUAAUAAUGCCUGCUUGAAUUUGUAUCACUGUACAGUCAUUGCUCACUCUACAUAUCUGUCUCUCCCACUCUCCUGAUCGUUUCUGACUCACUUCUGUUUAGCGCACUGCCUGACACGGUGGAGGCACGCUGCCAACAGGGUAUGGAUCAAUGAGGGUGUGCAUGCGUGAAUGGCGGCAUGGGUGAGCUAUGUGAUGCUUGCCCCCCACUCCCCCUGCCCCCGCCCCAGCACUCCCACAGCUGCACUGAGAAGCAGAUAGAACCGGAAUUAUGAUCCCAUUUCACAGGUGUACAAACUGGCCCGUCAGGAAAGUUGGAGAACUUGCUCACGACUUCAAAGUUCAUAGAGAACAGAACCAGGACUCACACUCACACCCCUCAGAGCUUGCGCUGUGUCCCUAACUCAUAGUUACUGCUCUGGUUUAAAGUAGACUAGAUAAAACUUAGAUAAUUAAAGGGACGUGAGACCCAUUGAGUCAUUCUGUCCAGUGCAGCAUUUAAAAAUGUCAGCUACUAUUUUUUCUAAAAAAAAAAAAAAAAAAAA
Mus musculus (house mouse) is the source of this 15871-nucleotide long non-coding RNA. RefSeq annotates it as predicted gene, 31262. NCBI's taxonomy places the organism in Eukaryota, Metazoa, Chordata, Mammalia, Rodentia, Muridae. The transcript is spliced from 2 exons. The record is from RefSeq and is a predicted model, not a curated record.